This 54-nucleotide transfer RNA is filed under the name Cautires sp. UPOL A00085. RNAcentral describes it as "partial tRNA-Ser". Lineage: Eukaryota; Metazoa; Arthropoda; Insecta; Coleoptera; Lycidae. The record is from RNAcentral.
AAAGAAAUAUGUAAAAAAAGCUUCUAACUUUUUAUAAAGCAUUAAUAUGUUUAU